GACGAACGCUGGCGGCGUGCCUAACACAUGCAAGUCGAACGGAGUGUUUAUUUAUAAACACUUAGUGGCGAACGGGUGAGUAACGCGUAGACAACCUACCCUCUAGAUGGGGACAACACCGCGAAAGUGGUGCUAAUACCGAAUGUUGUAAUGUUAUUGCAUAAUGAUAUUACUAAAGGUGGCCUCUAUAUAAAAGCUACCGCUAGAAGAUGGGUCUGCGUCUGAUUAGCUAGUUGGUGAGAUAACAGCUCACCAAGGCAAUGAUCAGUAGCCGGUCUGAGAGGAUGAACGGCCACACUGGGACUGAGACACGGCCCAGACUCCUACGGGAGGCAGCAGUGGGGAAUCUUCCGCAAUGGACGAAAGUCUGACGGAGCAACGCCGCGUGAGUGAAGAAGGUUUUCGGAUCGUAAAGCUCUGUCUUCAAGGACGAAUGUAGAUAUUGUGAAUAAUGAUAUUUAAUGACGGUACUUGAGGAGGAAGCCACGGCUAA
RNAcentral lists this ribosomal RNA (493 nucleotides) under uncultured bacterium. RNAcentral's name for it is "bacterial SSU rRNA". It matches the Rfam family "Bacterial small subunit ribosomal RNA", at positions 28 to 500 of the family's 1533-position model. The record is from RNAcentral.